Molecule: ribosomal RNA, 233 nt
Filed under: uncultured bacterium
Lineage: Bacteria
Description: partial 16S ribosomal RNA
Rfam family: Bacterial small subunit ribosomal RNA
Source: RNAcentral
UCCGGAAUCAUUGGGCGUAAAGCGCGUGUAGGCGGCCCGGUAAGUCCGCUGUGAAAGUCGGGGGCUCAACCCUCGGAUGCCGGUGGAUACUGUCGGGCUAGAGUGCGGAAGAGGCGAGUGGAAUUCCUGGUGUAGCGGUGAAAUGCGCAGAUAUCAGGAGGAACACCAAUUGCGAAGGCAGCUCGCUGGGACGUGACUGACGCUGAGACGCGAAAGCGUGGGGAGCAAACCGG